Molecule: ribosomal RNA, 443 nt
Filed under: uncultured bacterium
Lineage: Bacteria
Description: partial 16S ribosomal RNA
Rfam family: Bacterial small subunit ribosomal RNA
Source: RNAcentral
CCUACGGGUGGCAGCAGUGGGGAAUAUUGGGCAAUGGGCGCAAGCCUGACCCAGCAACGCCGCGUGAAGGAAGAAGGCUUUCGGGUUGUAAACUUCUUUUCUCAGGGACGAAGCAAGUGACGGUACCUGAGGAAUAAGCCACGGCUAACUACGUGCCAGCAGCCGCGGUAAUACGUAGGUGGCAAGCGUUAUCCGGAUUUACUGGGUGUAAAGGGCGUGUAGGCGGGAAAGCAAGUCAGAUGUGAAAACCAUGGGCUCAACCUGUGGCCUGCAUUUGAAACUGUUUUUCUUGAGUACUGGAGAGGCAGACGGAAUUCCUAGUGUAGCGGUGAAAUGCGUAGAGAUUAGGAGGAACACCAGUGGCGAAGGCGGUCUGCUGGACAGCAACUGACGCUGAGGUGCGAAAGCGUGGGGAGCAAACAGGAUUAGAUACCCCUGUAGUC